Small nuclear RNA from Suricata suricatta (meerkat), 105 nucleotides. The record is from Ensembl. NCBI's taxonomy places the organism in Eukaryota, Metazoa, Chordata, Mammalia, Carnivora, Herpestidae.
GCUCACUUCGGUAGCGCAUGUACUGAAAGGGGGACAACACAGAGAAGACCAGCAAGGUCCCUGCACAAGGGUGACGCACAAGUUUGCGCACAGGUCCAUGUUUCU